RNAcentral lists this ribosomal RNA (252 nucleotides) under uncultured bacterium. RNAcentral's name for it is "partial 16S ribosomal RNA". It matches the Rfam family "Bacterial small subunit ribosomal RNA", at positions 524 to 776 of the family's 1533-position model. The record is from RNAcentral.
UACAGAGGUGGCAAGCGUUGUUCGGAAUUACUGGGCGUAAGGGCGCGUAGGCGGCCAUCUAAGUCAGACGUGAAAUCCCCCGGCUUAACCUGGGAACUGCGUCUGAUACUGGACGGCUUGAGUAUGGGAGAGGGAUGUAGAAUUCCAGGUGUAGCGGUGAAAUGCGUAGAUAUCUGGAGGAAUACCGGUGGCGAAGGCGGCAUCCUGGACCAUUACUGACGCUGAGGCGCGAAAGCUAGGGGAGCAAACGGG